Long non-coding RNA from Dryobates pubescens (Downy woodpecker), 652 nucleotides. RefSeq lists it as uncharacterized. Lineage: Eukaryota; Metazoa; Chordata; Aves; Piciformes; Picidae. The record is from RefSeq and is a predicted model, not a curated record. The transcript has 3 exons.
UGAGUCCUUAAGUUGCAGCUUUUAACUACCUCGGUGUUCAAAGAAAAGCUGAUGCUCAGCGGGAACAGAAGGAAGAGCCUGCUGGCAGGUAGACAGCAUGGACACUGAUCCUGGCAGGGCUGGCUGCUGAGAGAGGUCUUCUGGGGGUGCUGCCAAGCCUCUCCUGCUCCAGGUGAUGCCCCAGUUCACCUUUGCUUGCUUCUGUGGGCUCCAUGGCUUCUGCAAGAUGAAGAGGAAGAAAGAAGAGGCCAGCACAGAGCAGGAGACAGCAGUGUGAGAGCAGAUCCGUGUGUGUGCCCUGCUGAGAGGUGCCUCAGGACCCUGUUCCCUUCCCAUUGAUCCUUGUGUGGCCAGGAGAGAGCUGAAGCACAGGAAUGGCCUUGCCAAGAGGCAGAAGCAGAUGCUGUGGAUGUUACCCAGGUGCUGCAAGAACCCUGCCCAGACACCCAGCCCAGCCAAGUGCUCAGCCCUUGGCACCUGAGCAGCCAGUGACAGCAGGACCCUGUGUCCCAGCAGGGUAGAGAUUCCCCUCCUGAGCAAGCUGCCCUGCCCUUGCUCCACCCAGCCUCAACAGCCAGACCUGGAGGGGGUUUCAGAAGCCAGGGCUGGUCCUUGCCCUUCCUGGAGCCACAGUGGUGGAGAGGCUGGCCCC